UCAAAACCAGCCCGAUGCAAAAAUUCAUAUGCCUUUUUGUCAGUUUGCUACAGUUUUGCGGCUAUUUGUAAUCGUUUAGAUCGUUAUAAAAUAAAAAGAAGUUAAGCUCUAGUUUGCAGCCAAGACGUACAUUUUGAUUUAGGCACUUUUAAUUGUAAACAGCUGCAAAAAUUCUGCUACACAAACUUUAAAACGCAGACAAAAUCAGCGGGGACUACGAACGUGCCUCUUAAUAUGCACAGCGCAAAUUUGAAUAAUUUAAUACCGUCUUUUGGCUCUGAAGGCGGAAAAAUUAUUGCGGCUUAUGUUUCAAUUAAGCAAUUUUUGUACAUCAGGUGCGUUUUAUAUACGCCAGACUUUCAGACGGGUAAACAAACCUAUAGAGAACGCAGAGGGGGACAGCAAUGACAACUAAGCGCACCAACGUUAAACCCUUUAAUGCUUCCAGACGUCAGCUGUAGAUAGAAGACAUAAUAAACGAAAAGAAAGAAAUCUUUUAUAGGCAUCAAGGCUGACAAAUUUUUCCAGAAAUAUUUAAAAUAAGAAGUACCAGAAUUUAAAUUAGAUGUUAAGUUUUAAUCUUAAAUACACCGUAAAUAAAACCGUCUUAAAGAGGCUUCAAAUGGUACUACGGUACCAUUUGAGCUUUGAUAAAUGGCGACCACACAUUAAACUGCCUACAGUUGGAAGGAGUCCAGGAAAAAAUGCUGGCAAUUGCGCAAAAGAAUCGGCCUUCGGCGUAAGUUAAUGAGCGAGGGGAAAAAAGAACACAUUAUACACAAAUUAAGCGUGCAUGCUUAGAGCGAAUAUUUUAUAGAACUGGAAACCGACAGCAGCGAAAGGCACAGUCAAACACAUUGAUAAUUGAUGAUUUGAACAUUGUUCAAAUAAUAUGAACGUUUGUGUGGACUAAACAGGCUCACAAGAAAAAAUACAAAUGCAACUUGUUGUAUAUGUUAUAAACCUCCAUUAAAAAGAGCAUUCAAUAUUCUAAAAUCUAAUUUUCAUUUAAAACAAUAAUAAUAAUAAUACCGUUGAGCCGCAUCAGUCAACACAUGCGAAA
Non-coding RNA from Drosophila virilis, 1063 nucleotides. Lineage: Eukaryota; Metazoa; Arthropoda; Insecta; Diptera; Drosophilidae. The record is from RefSeq and is a predicted model, not a curated record.